This 305-nucleotide long non-coding RNA is filed under the name Crocodylus porosus (Australian saltwater crocodile). RNAcentral's name for it is "lncRNA (ENSCPRG00005002445.1)". The record is from RNAcentral. Lineage: Eukaryota; Metazoa; Chordata; Crocodylia; Crocodylidae.
UGACGCCCGUCAUGGAGAAGGCGGCGGGCGCCGACGAUGAGUGCGUGGACUCGGGGGCUGAGACGGGCGGGUCUGAGUACAGCCGUAUGUCCUCUACUAGCAGAUUUCACAAAUUAUGGGCAUCCCACAGAGAUCCAUUUUAAGGAACAGAAGCUACACUGAAGCUAGAAACUGCUUGGCUCAUAGCAAAUCUCACAACGGUGAGAGAAGGGGAAGAGGAGAAGAAAUAUAGGAGAGAACUAUUAAGGCGAAUCCCUGCUUUUAUAAAGUAGUCUUUACUGUAUUAAUUUAUAUGGGAUAGUGCC